UGAACGAGAAGAGGAAACUGGGAAAGAGAUUGGUGACUAGUGUCCCCCAGCGGCUAGGAGGGGAACUGCUAGGACCUGCAACACUGCCCUCUCCGUGGCCUGGUGUCUCCCGGGUAAACUCUGCAUCCAACCUGGAGCUUGAACCCAUGACCACAGAUCAAGGGGCACAUGCCCUACCAACUAAGCCAUCCAGGAGCCCCCACAAUUCUUUUCAACAAAUGUUUAUGGAGCAUCUUUUGCAAGCCAUCCCUAAAAGGGACACUGGAGCUACAGAAUGCAAUUAGCCAAACCUUCUGCCUGCAGGAAGCUCACUGUCUCAGAGGAGAGAGAAACAGCGAAACCCCGCAAUCACGGGACCCCAGGAAAAGUGCUGGUUGAGCCAGCCACCCUUUGUGUGCUCCGGGAAUAGGACAGAGCUCUGGGGUCAGGGAAGACUUCUGGGGUGAGAUCACCCUUGGCUGAGUUUUGGAGAAUGUUAAAAUUAGCUCCACGAAGCAGUGGGAAUAGCUGGAGGGGAGGCUUGGAGGUGUGAAGCAGCAUGAUGUACUGUCUCCAAGAGCCAGGUCCUGGUGGCUGUAGUGAAGACACCUUCAGAGAAAAGCCCAUGGGGCUCCGGGGCUGAGCUGAAUUUGAUCUGGUGGCUGAAAGUUACAGCCGAAGCCUUCCUACUUUGCCUUCCUUUCUGAUCUUCAUGGACUCACCUUAACUCUCUCUCCUUGUUCUUAGGAGUUUCCUUAACCCCCUCUUCUUAAGGUCUCGCCUAACCUCUUCCUCUCUUCCCACAAAGGCCUCUUCUGUUUCCUCUUCCUCCCCAUCACUCACUGCUGACACCCUUCCCUCCAAGGCCUCCUUACCACCACCCUCCCUCCGCCGCCGUGCACAACACUGACUCAUGGAUAUUAAACCUUCAGGCCACCAUUUGGACAGCAUAACCACUUUAUACGGCGUGAAGAAUGCCAGGGUACAAAUUGUGUGCACAGAUGCAAAUUACUGGUAGCCUGGUUGAGAGUCUGUUUAUCCGCAUAAAUGUCUUGGCUCCUCCCUGCACGAGAGUCCGGGCACCUCGCCUGACUGCCCGCCCCCCACCUUCCUUACGUGCCUCUAACUUGAUUUGAAAAAGUUCCUUUAAAAAAGUU
This is a long non-coding RNA of Herpailurus yagouaroundi (jaguarundi), 1136 nucleotides long. RefSeq lists it as uncharacterized. The transcript has 2 exons. Lineage: Eukaryota; Metazoa; Chordata; Mammalia; Carnivora; Felidae. The record is from RefSeq and is a predicted model, not a curated record.